AAACAUUAGUCGGGGUGCUUUAUUUUUAAAUAAAAGCUGAGAUGAUACCCGUGAACCUGAUACAGUUAAUACUGGCGUAGGAAACUAGACAAUGAUUAUC
Molecule: non-coding RNA, 100 nt
Filed under: Moraxella bovis
Lineage: Bacteria; Pseudomonadati; Pseudomonadota; Gammaproteobacteria; Moraxellales; Moraxellaceae
Description: TPP sequence
Rfam family: TPP riboswitch aptamer (THI element)
About the family: Vitamin B(1) in its active form thiamin pyrophosphate (TPP) is an essential coenzyme that is synthesised by coupling of pyrimidine and thiazole moieties in bacteria. The previously detected thiamin-regulatory element, thi box was extended, resulting in a new, highly conserved RNA secondary structure, the THI element, which is widely distributed in eubacteria and also occurs in some archaea. Analysis of operon structures identified a large number of new candidate thiamin-regulated genes, mostly transporters, in various prokaryotic organisms.
Source: RNAcentral